Molecule: long non-coding RNA, 408 nt
Organism: Planococcus citri (citrus mealybug)
Lineage: Eukaryota; Metazoa; Arthropoda; Insecta; Hemiptera; Pseudococcidae
Exons: 2
Source: RefSeq, a predicted model, not a curated record
AGGUGUGAAUAAAAAUCAGAUUUCAUGAUCGACAACAACUCACUUCUGCGCGGCGAUAUAUUCGGCUCGAGUUUUACUUAGCUCUUCGCUGAUGGACUGUUUAGCUUGGAUUUCCGAUUGCAGGCUACUUUGCUGCAAAGUGGGACAGAAUAAUACAUGAAAAACGAGUCGAUACAUUCCAAGAGUGAAAUCGCGUUGAAAAAAAUGUGGUUCGAAAAAAGACAGCCCAGGUAUCAACGUUCGUGGGCUGACACCUGUUCCAGUUCGACGUCGAUAUUGUCUCUAAUAUUAACGUUUAUUUUAUUUUUAUUUUUUUUCAUUUAUAUAAUUGUUUUUUUCUUUUAUAAAAUUCAGCGUAAAGUUACGACGAGCAGCGUGAUUCAAUAAUACAUUAUGAGAAAUACGCAA